UCCCCAACAACUAGCCCACCCCCCAAAAAACAACAGACCACUAUCUACUUAACCCCUCAUACCCCCACCAAACCAAACAAAUCAUUUUUCCCCCUGAGUAUGGGAGACAGAAAAG
RNAcentral lists this ribosomal RNA (115 nucleotides) under Ancistrogobius yoshigoui. RNAcentral describes it as "partial 16S ribosomal RNA". Lineage: Eukaryota; Metazoa; Chordata; Actinopteri; Gobiiformes; Gobiidae. The record is from RNAcentral.